AUCUAAAUCUUUUGAGGAUUUUCUCGAUUUUAGUUUUAGCUUCAACCUUAAAGAUUUUAAAUAUAUCUAAGACUUCAUAUUUAGAUCUAAUUAGAUAUGUAUAACAAUAUCAAAAGAAAUCAUAAAUGAAAGUUAUGAAGUAAUGAUUUCCUUUUUAAGUUGAAAUUUUGGUAAAAUCACACACAUCACUAUAAACUAGAUGAAAAGGUUAGAACUUCUA
RNAcentral lists this long non-coding RNA (220 nucleotides) under Elaeis guineensis (African oil palm). Its description in RNAcentral is "long non-coding RNA (EGUI_LNC043531)". Lineage: Eukaryota; Viridiplantae; Streptophyta; Magnoliopsida; Arecales; Arecaceae. The record is from RNAcentral.